GACGAACGCUGGCGGCGUGCUUAACACAUGCAAGUCGAACGGAACUUUUUGGAUCAAGGCUUCGGCCAAGUGAAUUUGAGUUUAGUGGCGGACGGGUGAGUAACGCGUGAGGAACCUGCCUUUCAGAGGGGGACAACAGUUGGAAACGACUGCUAAUACCGCAUAACGCAUAGGAGUCGCAUGGCUCUUAUGCCAAAGAUUUAUCGCUGAAAGAUGGCCUCGCGUCUGAUUAGCUAGUCGGUGAGGUAACGGCCCACCAAGGCGACGAUCAGUAGCCGGACUGAGAGGUUGACCGGCCACAUUGGGACUGAGAUACGGCCCAGACUCCUACGGGAGGCAGCAGUGGGGAAUAUUGCGCAAUGGAGGAAACUCUGACGCAGUGACGCCGCGUAUAGGAAGAAGGUUUUCGGAUUGUAAACUAUUGUUGUUGAGGAAGAUAAUGACGGUACUCAACAAGGAAGUGACGGCUAACUACGUGCCAGCAGCCGCGGU
RNAcentral lists this ribosomal RNA (492 nucleotides) under uncultured bacterium. RNAcentral's name for it is "bacterial SSU rRNA". It matches the Rfam family "Bacterial small subunit ribosomal RNA", at positions 28 to 521 of the family's 1533-position model. The record is from RNAcentral.